Molecule: non-coding RNA, 68 nt
Organism: Rattus norvegicus (Norway rat)
Lineage: Eukaryota; Metazoa; Chordata; Mammalia; Rodentia; Muridae
Source: Rfam
GGGGAUUUAGCUCAGUGGUAGAGUGCUUGCCUAGCAAGCACAAGGCCCUGGGUUCGGUCCCCAGCUCA